GACGAACGCUGGCGGUGUGCUUAACACAUGCAAGUGGUGCGACGAACCAGAGCUUGCUCUGGGGCAAAGCCGCGAACGGGUGAGUAACACGUGGGUAAUCUACCCCGAUGACCGGGACAACCCGAGGAAACUCGGGCUAAUACCGGAUGUGGUACGGAGACAUAAGUCUCUUUACUAAAGGUAGCUUCGGCUUCCGCAUUGGGAGGGGCCCGCGGCCCAUUAGCUAGUUGGUGGGGUCAAGGCCUACCAAGGCAACGAUGGGUAGCUGGUCUGAGAGGACGAUCAGCCACACUGGGACUGAGACACGGCCCAGACUCCUACGGGAGGCAGCAGUGGGGAAUCUUGCGCAAUGCGCGAAAGCGUGACGCAGCAACACCGCGUGAGGGAAGACGGCCUUAGGGUUGUAAACCUCUUUCAGAUGGGACGAAGGUGAUGUGGUGAAUAGCCGAUGUCAUUGACGGUACCGUCAGAAGAAGCUCCGGCUAACUACGUGCCAGCAGCCGCGGUAU
RNAcentral lists this ribosomal RNA (509 nucleotides) under uncultured bacterium. RNAcentral's name for it is "bacterial SSU rRNA". It matches the Rfam family "Bacterial small subunit ribosomal RNA", at positions 28 to 523 of the family's 1533-position model. The record is from RNAcentral.